RNAcentral lists this ribosomal RNA (385 nucleotides) under uncultured bacterium. RNAcentral's name for it is "bacterial SSU rRNA". It matches the Rfam family "Bacterial small subunit ribosomal RNA", at positions 30 to 414 of the family's 1533-position model. The record is from RNAcentral.
AUUGAACGCUGGCGGCAUGCCUUACACAUGCAAGUCGAACGGCAGCGCGGACUUCGGUCUGGCGGCGAGUGGCGAACGGGUGAGUAAUAUAUCGGAACGUACCCAGGAGUGGGGAUAACGUAGCGAAAGUUACGCUAAUACCGCAUACGUCCUAAGGGAGAAAGCAGGGGAUCGCAAGACCUUGUGCUCAUGGAGCGGCCGAUAUCUGAUUAGCUAGUUGGUGGGGUAAAAGCCUACCAAGGCAACGAUCAGUAGCUGGUCUGAGAGGACGACCAGCCACACUGGAACUGAGACACGGUCCAGACUCCUACGGGAGGCAGCAGUGGGAAUUUUGGACAAUGGGGGGCAACCCGUGAGUCCAGCAAUGCCGCGUGAGUGAAGAAGG